Long non-coding RNA from Piliocolobus tephrosceles (Ugandan red Colobus), 2109 nucleotides. The record is from Ensembl. Lineage: Eukaryota; Metazoa; Chordata; Mammalia; Primates; Cercopithecidae.
GCGAGCGCUCCGAGGGGCGGAGCGAAGCGGUACCCGCCCCCUGGCGGCUCGGGCCAGUCAGCGCGGGCGUCGAGCCGGCCAAUGAGCGUAUGCAGGGGCCGGCCGGCGAACCAGCUAGGGGCCGCUCGGGAGGCGGAGCUCCGAGCGCGACCCGGAGGGAGACUCGGCGGCCGCAGCCAUGGGCGCUGGGCCUGCGGGGGCGCGCGGGGGGGCGCGAGGACCUGCGGGGCCGGGCGGGAGAGACAGCUGCCGGGACCGGCCCUAGACGCUGAGCCGCGGUGGGAUCCCCGCCGGCUCUGCGAGGCCCUGCGAGUGCCAGGGAGGCGCCGCGAGGGAGCCGGGCAGCCGCCGGCCACUUCAGGGGGGGCCCGUCUCGCCGUCUGGGCGGUCGAGAGGGCCUUGGGGGCACAUCUGGGGGUGCGGUGACCCGCCCGGCGUAUUUCGGGGGUCAGGGCGCGUUUGCCAGGGGACAUCUGGAGCCCGGCGCCGCCUCUGUCGGGCCCCAGGGCACCCCUGGAUGGCUGCGCUGUGCCCUCGCCGGCCGCCCGGGCGCCGCAGCGGCUGAGUUCGCCGGGAUCGCCGGGCCGCCGCCGCCCUUACCACCCGCUGCAUGCUGGGCGCCCGGGUCGCGGCCCACCUGGACGCAUUGGGCCCCCUGGUCCCCUACGUGCCGCCGCCGCUGCUGCCCUCUAUGUUCUACGUGGGCCUGUUCUUCGUCAAUGUGCUGAUCCUGUACUACGCCUUCCUCAUGGAGUACAUCGUCCUUAACGUGGGCCUUGUCUUCCUGCCCGAGGACAUGGACCAGGCGCUCGUGGACCUCGGCGUACUCUCCGACCCCGGCUCGGGCCUUUACGAUGCUGACUCGGAGCUCGACGUCUUUGAUGGGUACUUGGAGUAGGGUCUCGACUGCCGUUCCCCUCCUCCCUGGAGCCGCAACCCACGCCCUGGACCAGCCGCCCAGAUCAUGCCGCCGCAGCUGGUGGGGGGCACCAUCUGGACGGGGAUGGUUCCCCAGGAGGAGAUCCUCCCCUGCCUCCGAGGCCUGCCUGCUCCCCUCAAAAGCUUCGUGCCAACAGAGAGGUUCCUGUUUGGACCCAGGAGAGUAGAAAAGAGAUUGGGACUGAGUGCUGAGGUUGGGAAGGCACCUGCUCCCACAGAAGGGGGAACGCAAGGGGCGUCCCAAGACCUCAUCUGCCCGCAGCGUCACACCGAUGGCCCGGCCUUGGCUUCUGAUUAUUUGCAGCUGCGAUGGAAGUUUACAGGAACCCAGCCAGAGUUUGCCUCCCUGCACUUCACCCCGGAGCGCACCUGCUUCCCCCACUUCACCUUCAGAGAGGACACUUCAAACUGCGGACACACGCAAAAGCAACUCCCAGCUCCGUUUGAUGUGAGGAGACUGAGGUGUGGGAGAGUAGAGGCGGCAGAACUCCGGUGAGAGACAGUUGUAGCACCACUUGCCCUCAUGCGAUGCUAAAGAAAGAAAAGCUACGAAAUCUGAAAAGAAGACAUUUGAGAGGCUCAAGGAAAAAGGUGAGCGUGAGGAGGGAGACAUUUGCAUGUAGAGAGAGGCCUGAGAGGAAAAAUGACUAUUUGGAAGGUGCGCGGACUUACAAUCCACUGGACGUGGAAUUGCACCAUCAUGCCCUGAUUCCUCUGAGCACUGCUGUACCACCUGACAAAUGGGGUUCAGAGCACUUCCAGCACACUGUGCCUGUGCCUGCAGAGAGGUCCUCCAGAGAAGUCAGGAGUCCAUUCCCUUAUAGGAGUGUGACUAUAAGUAUCACUUAGAUCUGUGACAUGGAGACAGUAAUUUAUCCACACUUACGAUGACUGUGUGUUAACGACAAAAACAUGCGCCUCUGGGUUAAAAGGCUCCACACCAGCACUGCCAGCUUGGCAAGCAGAACCCAGACUGGUUUGCAGCCCCCAUGUUCCCCCUUGACCAGGUGCCUUUGUGCACUGUACAGACUGGCCAACUUCACCUGGCAGCCCUGCCAGAGAGUUUUUUUAAUUUGCUAAAAUAUAAGACUCACCAGGGCAGGAACAUCUUAUUUAUGACUGUGCACUCAGUAUGUAUUUGUAGAAUGAAUAAAGCGAAGUUAAGAUCCA